CUCUCACACCCAUCACACACAGCACUCUCACACCCAUCACACACAGCACUCUCUCACACAGCACUCUCUCACCCAUCACACACAGCACUCUCACACCCAUCACACACAGCACUCUCACACCCAUCACACACAGCACUCUCUCACACAACACUCUCACACCCAUCACACUCUCAGCACUCUCACAGCACUCACACACACAGCACUCUCACACACACAGCACUUUCACACACACAGCACUCUCUCACAGCACCCUCACACCCAUCACACUCACAGCACUCUCACAGAGCACUCUCUCACAGAGCACUCUCUCACAGAGCACUCUCACACGGCACUCUCACACGGCACUCUCACACACCGCACCCUCACAUACGGCACUCUCAC
Pelobates cultripes (western spadefoot toad) is the source of this 381-nucleotide non-coding RNA. The record is from the annotation of a GenBank genome assembly. Lineage: Eukaryota; Metazoa; Chordata; Amphibia; Anura; Pelobatidae.